Molecule: ribosomal RNA, 430 nt
Filed under: uncultured rumen bacterium
Lineage: Bacteria
Description: bacterial SSU rRNA
Rfam family: Bacterial small subunit ribosomal RNA
Source: RNAcentral
GUGGGGAAUCUUCCGCAAUGGGCGAAAGCCUGACGGAGCAACGCCGCGUGAGUGAAGAAGGGUUUCGGCUCGUAAAGCUCUGUUGACGGGGACGAAUGUGCGAAAUGCGAAUAGUUUUUCGCAAUGACGGUACCCGUCGAGGAAGCCACGGCUAACUACGUGCCAGCAGCCGCGGUAAUACGUAGGUGGCGAGCGUUGUCCGGAAUUAUUGGGCGUAAAGGGAGCGCAGGCGGGAAGGCAAGUCAGUCUUAAAAGUGCGGGGCUCAACCCCGUGAUGGGAUUGAAACUGUCUUUCUUGAGUGCAGGAGAGGAAAGCGGAAUUCCUAGUGUAGCGGUGAAAUGCGUAGAUAUUAGGAGGAACACCAGUGGCGAAGGCGGCUUUCUGGACUGUAACUGACGCUGAGGCUCGAAAGCGUGGGGAGCGAACAGG